Long non-coding RNA from Dendroctonus ponderosae (mountain pine beetle), 668 nucleotides. RefSeq lists it as uncharacterized. The transcript has 3 exons. The record is from RefSeq and is a predicted model, not a curated record. NCBI's taxonomy places the organism in Eukaryota, Metazoa, Arthropoda, Insecta, Coleoptera, Curculionidae.
AUUGAAUAAUUUCACUUGUUUCAGGUAUUCCAAGAGCAAAUCGAAGUCCCACGAUAGUUUUAGAUGAAUUGAUAAACUAUGCUGAACGGGAACAAAGCGAAGAAGAUGCUUCAACUGCGGCGCAACAACCUUUUGAACAGCCAGAUGAUGGUCAGAAUGGUCUUGGGCAGCUUCAAGCGCUGGGUCCUAUGAUUUCGAAUAUUGUUCAAGACCUUGAGUCAUCUCUUGACGAUGUUAGAAAUAUCAGGGCUAAUAAUAUAUCGGGAUCACGACCCGGUAUGCUGAGCAGUUUUUCACAGAGGAUGGAUAAUAUAAUGGCCAAUUCGGAAAACAUGUUAAGGAAUAUGAGAAGUUUUGACCGUUUACCCAGUGGGCCCACCGAAAGCGCUAGAUCUACAACAGAAAAUGAACCACGUUGGAAUUUCAAUGAUCCGGGAUUUUAUGUCCGAGAUCUUCGAACUGAAGCCUCAAACAAUAUGGAGACUGAAGGUACCACUAGUCCAGGGAAUAUGCAGGAUAUGUUUGGAUAUAUGCACGCAGUAACCACAGACCAUACAUAUCCUCGCAAUCCAAAUAGAACCGGUGCUAUUGACAGAGUGCCGCCCCUUUUUAAUUCAUUACAAUUUACUGUCUCCUACAUAAAUUCGCAAUCCAGGCUUUUAAGGCGC